AAUGCUCUUUUGAACACAUCACUUCCCUGUACCCAUGGGACAAAGGCAACAGGAAGGGCUGCCACUCACAGGCCACACCUAUUCCUUAGUGAAGGAGAUCUGAGCAAAGGAGUACAAAUGCUUUGCACCCUGCCAGGCUUCAGGCAAUGUAGCACCUUUGUAGUCAGCCCAUGGGACUCUUUUGGAGGCUGUGCCUGGCAGCAAGGGGGAGAGAGAUCCUUAUUACUACUCUGAAUGCAACACGUUGUCUCAAAACCAUCUAUAGAGCUCCAGGCCCAGAGAUGUUCCCCUACCACAGAGGCUUACUGGUGUUUCGCAGGGUCCUGGUGGCGAAUGCAGCUGCCUCCCCUGCAGAGAGGCUGAGCCUGGUCGGAGCAAGAAGCUCGGCUGCACCGCUCACCUGCAGGAGAAGGACCCAUCACUCCGUGCUGGUACCGUUGUCAGCAGUGCUCUUGCCGAUUGCAAGACUGGUGGAAGCAUCAAAGGGGUGCCCUUGGAAUGUGUGCCUAAUGAUGAUCAAUGAAAAUAGAAGCCCUGUUGCAGCGAGACUCAUGAGGUCCUGCUCACAGCUGGCACACAGAGGCAUGGCUGUAAAAAGAAGAUGCUGGGCAUCAGGACUAAUUGUCCCACCAGAUUCCUCCUCACCUUGGAAAACCCUUGUCUCCUCCCAGCAGGGGAGAUGGGCCGCCUGUCCUGGUGUGGAUACUGGUAUGCCAGCCAGAUGCUCUGCGAGCAGGCCUAGCAUGCGACGCUGUGUAGAAAUCAGAAUCCCUUGUGUACUUCCAAGGAAAUCCAUGGGAGCGGGUGGACAUGGACCCAGUGGCUUAAUCCCCUUCCCACCACUCUGUGGAGCUUGUGAGAGGACGAGGAGAGGACGGAGGCAUCUGAGCCUCGGAUGGACAGCAUCUCUCCGCUGCCUGAAGCACCUCUGCCUCCGGGAAAGGAAGGGGAAUGAGGUCGAGUGACAAAGCAAACGCACAGGCUGCCCCUGAAUCCCUCAUUGACUUGAAACCCAUCCUUCAGAGGCAACCAGCAGCUUCCAGACCAGCCUUUCAUCAUUCGUUGUCCUUCCUAAUGAGAACGACAUUAGACUUUUACCUCAACCCGACUACAAUGAUUUCACUGUAGAAAAUGAUCAUCUCCACACUUCAGAAGCACUGAUGAUGUUUGCUAUUGGCUGCAUAAAACCCCUAAAAUGCUUUCAAAUUAAAGUCCUGCCAUAAUAACUGUUUUUUUUCUUUUUGUAUUUCCAUAUGCUACAGAGAGGAGCAGAAUCAUUAUUUUCCAUCAGUUAAUUUAGAAGUGGCUGAAAGACCCCAACAGUAAUCCUCUGAAAGUUUCUGCAAGUAAACAUGAGAACUGGUCUCUGCUCUGAAGAAUCAAGGAACUAAAAUACCACAGUGGCAUCUUUUAUGCUGAGCAUCACCCCUGUGCCUUUACUCUAUUUUUCCUUAAGCGUCUGUAACUAGACUGUUAAGCAUUUCAGCCAUGUGACUAAUCCCCGCAGGCUUCGCCAAUGGCAAUAAUAUCAAAUUUCUUCUCAUCAAUGGGAAUUUCCAUUUCCAGCUUGCUUGUUACCCCCAUGUCUAGGACUGCUGUAUAAGUAAUAGGAAAACCUCUUUUUCUUCACAACUUUAUCACACCAGCUCAAUUUGUUUGCAACAUGCUGAGCUUGAGUUAGGAUUGCAUUUGCCUUCUUAGCACCUUCCCUUUGUGUCAUUAGUCAAGCGACCGCCUGGCUGCUCCAGCUUGUUUCUGACAGAACAGAGUAGCUUUGAGAUGGAGGCCAUUUUGCUCAUCUGUGAUUGCAUAUAUAUAUAAAAGACUGAAAACGGCAUUACAAAACCUCCAGCAACUCGUCUACACGCUGCAGCCACUUAUUUUCCAGUGACACCAGAACACUUUUUCCUACUCACCAGCUGGUGAGAAGUGUCAAGCGACAACGCCAGCAGCUCACACGAAGAAUUGCUGCCUUCAAACACCAAACUUCAUUGCUGUGAGUACAACCACGUCAUCCCUGCUGCUGCUGGUCCUUGAAUACACUUGUGCCUGGAGUGCCCCUUUGCCUCAUUUCAUUCCCCAGUAGCUGCUGGUAGGUGGGAGAAAGGGUGGGCAUCACCCUCCAAGUCGUCAGCGUCACAACAGAGGAACUGCCGAAUCAGAUGUCAUCUGGGAAAUUCUUCUUCAGCAGUAACACCUUUCGUGCCAAGGAAUCAUACAGACCGACUAGCACUCCUCCUCCGUGUUCACAGCCACUGUACCGAUCGAGCUGUUUGUCAUCUGUCAUGCUGACACAAAGCUGGGACCAGCGGCACAGGAGCUCUGUCUCCUGAGCUGGUCAGAGAGAAAGUUACCUGCGUCCCCUUUUCCUUUGUGGGAGGCUGACAUACAAUGAAAUUUGAUGACCACAGAUGGGAGGGAGAAAGAGGCUUCUGGUGGUAGCCCUGGGCUACAAGUGGGUGAUUAUCAAAUGGAGAACAAUUAAUUCAAAAAAGCCCCAAUUUAAGAAAGCACUCAGACGUGGUUUUCUCUAAUAAUGUCUCUAAGAUGUUUCUUGUCUGGAAAAGGAUGUAAAUACAGGCAGCCUUAAGCAUGUGCUGAGGAACUCUGUGGCAGAGACCUCAACUGUGUAAAAAAUGGUCGCCGUACUGUAGAGGAAAAUGACGAUAUAAAGCAUUUCUCCAGGGCUGCCUGGCACUAAUGACUUUAAUACAGCGAGUUGAACAAACUUAUGUGGCAGCAGUGACUGUGAAGGAGGACUUUUAACUUGCCUACAAUAACUACCUUGCGAGGAGCUGAGUGCUUCAGUCAGCGUGAUGAAUAGGGACUAGGAGCCAGUGGAAGGCCAGCGGGAGGAGGCGGUGUGGAAGGUGGAGCUGGAUGGGGCAGGGCACAGGGCACGGCUGUAGGAGAGCACCUCUGGCAGCACAACAGCGAUGUGGUGGAGCACGUGCUUGAUUCCUCAAGUUUGCAGCAAAAAGCUUGGCUGCAUGGUGAAGGAUCUGCCAAAUUGGGACUUACUUAGAAAUGCAGAAGUGAUACAGAUAAAGUGCAUGCAUGAGCACACACUUCCCCAAAAAUGUACAGGCUCAGGGAGGAGGUUGGCAAAUGACCAUGACCUCAGAUGAAUCCAUAGCAGAUCCAAGCCUUACAGGAAGGUAAAAAAGAAAUAGUGUGACAAUAGAAUGUGUGAGUCUGCUAACACUGCUUACACCACGGCUGUUCCUGUGCAUCAGCAGGCAGUGACAGAAGACACAGGCAGAGUUACAGGAACCAGGACUUUACAGAGCUGAUGGAGGGGCCAGCGCUGAAUGCUGAAGCUUGCUUGCUCUCUGUCUCUGCAUCCAUCCCCAGGCUGAUGUUCCAGUGCCUGUAGGUCUCCUCCUGCAAUCAGUCUCAGUACUGUUCACCAGACUGAGCCAUACUUCCAAUUAUAUUUAUAGGCCUAUUAGUAAAACUUGUGAUCUAUUCAUAGACAAGCCAUGAACACAAGAAGAGAGUCAAACGCAGUCAAUAAAUUGCCUGCAAGAAGUAAACUGUGCCA
This 3544-nucleotide long non-coding RNA is filed under the name Anser brachyrhynchus (Pink-footed goose). RNAcentral's name for it is "lncRNA (ENSABRG00000009898.1)". The record is from RNAcentral. Lineage: Eukaryota; Metazoa; Chordata; Aves; Anseriformes; Anatidae.